GAUGGGAUAGUUAAGUGGUAUAAUAACCAUGCUCCGGAGCUGGCGUCCCUGGUUCGAUCCCAGGUCCUGUCA
This is a transfer RNA of Oikopleura dioica, 72 nucleotides long. It matches the Rfam family "tRNA". From Rfam's summary of the family: Transfer RNA (tRNA) molecules are approximately 80 nucleotides in length. Their secondary structure includes four short double-helical elements and three loops (D, anti-codon, and T loops). Further hydrogen bonds mediate the characteristic L-shaped molecular structure. tRNAs have two regions of fundamental functional importance: the anti-codon, which is responsible for specific mRNA codon recognition, and the 3' end, to which the tRNAs corresponding amino acid is attached (by aminoacyl-tRNA synthetases). tRNAs cope with the degeneracy of the genetic code in two manners: having more than one tRNA (with a specific anti-codon) for a particular amino acid; and 'wobble' base-pairing, i.e. permitting non-standard base-pairing at the 3rd anti-codon position. The record is from Rfam. NCBI's taxonomy places the organism in Eukaryota, Metazoa, Chordata, Appendicularia, Copelata, Oikopleuridae.